UACGAAGGGGGCUAGCGUUGUUCGGAUUUACUGGGCGUAAAGCGCACGUAGGCGGUUUGUUAAGUCAGGGGUGAAAUCCCAGAGCUCAACUCUGGAACUGCCUUUGAUACUGGCAAGCUCGAGUCCGGAAGAGGUAAGUGGAACUCCUAGUGUAGAGGUGGAAUUCGUAGAUAUUAGGAAGAACACCAGUGGCGAAGGCGACACGCUGGGCCGUACCUGACACUGAACCGCGACAACGAUGGGAGGCAACAAGGAGU
This 257-nucleotide ribosomal RNA is filed under the name uncultured bacterium. Its description in RNAcentral is "partial 16S ribosomal RNA". It matches the Rfam family "Bacterial small subunit ribosomal RNA", at positions 524 to 779 of the family's 1533-position model. The record is from RNAcentral.